This is a long non-coding RNA of Passer montanus (Eurasian tree sparrow), 396 nucleotides long. RefSeq lists it as uncharacterized. The transcript has 3 exons. Lineage: Eukaryota; Metazoa; Chordata; Aves; Passeriformes; Passeridae. The record is from RefSeq and is a predicted model, not a curated record.
CACAGGGUGAACAUCUAGCAAGGCCCUGCCACCCCUUCAUGGAUGACAGGCUAACUCCAGAUGUAGUUUUGUAAUUUGUUACCAUUGACCGCAACUCUCUGCACUGCCCAGCUGCCCUCUCACUGGAGCACGGGAGCCACAGCCUCUCCCUUGGCAGCCCAGACAGCAUCCAGAUCCUGCCUGGAGCUUUGGGAGGACUGACCCCCUCCCUUCAUCUCCUCUGCUACAGAAACAAGCAACAAAUGGCAGAAAAGACAGCAGAGCUGUCCCUGGCAAGAGGAUCCAAGGAAGUGCAGCAAUGAUCCCAUGGCACUGUCACAGCAGGACGGGCUGGAGCCUGAGGCUGGCAGGGCACAGCUGGAACAUCUGUGGGAUGCCAAGCAGAGGAAACUGAUG